UACGUAGGGGGCAAGCGUUGUCCGGAUUUAUUGGGCGUAAAGCGCUCGCAGGUGGUUCGUCGCGUCGUGCGUGAAAGACCCCGGCUCAACUGGGGAGGGUCGUGCGAUACGGGCGGACUGGAGGCCAGUAGGGGGAUGCGGAAUUCCGGGUGUAGUGGUGGAAUGCGUAGAGAUCCGGAGGGACACCAGCGGCGAAGGCGGCAUCCUGGACUGGUCCUGACACUCAUGAGCGAAAGCGUGGGGAGCGAUCCGG
Molecule: ribosomal RNA, 253 nt
Filed under: uncultured bacterium
Lineage: Bacteria
Description: partial 16S ribosomal RNA
Rfam family: Bacterial small subunit ribosomal RNA
Source: RNAcentral